GCCGGGCUUGGUGGUGCAUGCCUGUAAUCCCAGCUACUCAGGAGGCUAAGGUGGGAGAAUUGCUUGAACCCAGGAGGCCGAGGUUGCAGUGAGCCGAGAUUGCGCCACUGCACUCCAGCCUGGGUGACAGAGCAAGACUCCAUCUAAA
This 148-nucleotide signal recognition particle RNA is filed under the name Gorilla gorilla gorilla (western lowland gorilla). RNAcentral describes it as "Metazoan signal recognition particle RNA". It matches the Rfam family "Metazoan signal recognition particle RNA". From Rfam's summary of the family: The signal recognition particle (SRP) is a universally conserved ribonucleoprotein. It is involved in the co-translational targeting of proteins to membranes. The record is from Rfam by way of RNAcentral. Lineage: Eukaryota; Metazoa; Chordata; Mammalia; Primates; Hominidae.